GACGAACGCUGGCGGCGUGCUUGACACAUGCAAGUCGAACGGAAAGGCCCUGCUUUUGUGGGGUGCUCGAGUGGCGAACGGGUGAGUAACACGUGAGUAACCUGCCCUUGACUUCGGGAUAACUUCAGGAAACUGGGGCUAAUACCGGAUAGGAGCUCCUGCUGCAUGGUGGGGGUUGGAAAGUUUCGGCGGUUGGGGAUGGACUCGCGGCUUAUCAGCUUGUUGGUGGGGUAGUGGCUUACCAAGGCUUUGACGGGUAGCCGGCCUGAGAGGGUGACCGGCCACAUUGGGGCUGAGAUACGGCCCAGACUCCUACGGGAGGCAGCAGUGGGGAAUAUUGCACAAUGGGCGGAAGCCUGAUGCAGCAACGCCGCGUGCGGGAUGACGGCCUUCGGGUUGUAAACCGCUUUCGCCUGUGACGAAGCGUGAGUGACGGUAAUGGGUAAAGAAGCACCGGCUAACUACGUGCCAGCAGCCGCGGUGAUACGUAGGGUGCGAGCGUUGUCCGGAUUUAUUGGGCGUAAAGGGCUCGUAGGUGGUUGAUCGCGUCGGAAGUGUAAUCUUGGGGCUUAACCCUGAGCGUGCUUUCGAUACGGGUUGACUUGAGGAAGGUAGGGGAGAAUGGAAUUCCUGGUGGAGCGGUGGAAUGCGCAGAUAUCAGGAGGAACACCAGUGGCGAAGGCGGUUCUCUGGGCCUUUCCUGACGCUGAGGAGCGAAAGCGUGGGGAGCGAACAGGCUUAGAUACCCUGGUAGUCCACGCUGUAAACGGUGGGUACUAGGUGUGGGGUCCAUUCCACGGGUUCCGUGCCGUAGCUAACGCUUUAAGUACCCCGCCUGGGGAGUACGGCCGCAAGGCUAAAACUCAAAGGAAUUGACGGGGCCCCGCACAAGCGGCGGAGCAUGCGGAUUAAUUCGAUGCAACGCGUAGAACCUUACCUGGGUUUGACAUGGAUCGGGAGUGCUCAGAGAUGGGUGUGCCUCUUUUGGGGUCGGUUCACAGGUGGUGCAUGGCUGUCGUCAGCUCGUGUCGUGAGAUGUUGGGUUAAGUCCCGCAACGAGCGCAACCCUUGUUCACUGUUGCCAGCACGUUAUGGUGGGGACUCAGUGGAGACCGCCGGGGUCAACUCGGAGGAAGGUGGGGAUGACGUCAAGUCAUCAUGCCCCUUAUGUCCAGGGCUUCACGCAUGCUACAAUGGCUGGUACAGAGAGUGGCGAGCCUGUGAGGGUGAGCGAAUCUCGGAAAGUCGGUCUCAGUUCGGAUUGGGGUCUGCAACUCGACCUCAUGAAGUCGGAGUCGCUAGUAAUCGCAGGUCAGCAACGCUGCGGUGAAUACGUUCCCGGG
This 1343-nucleotide ribosomal RNA is filed under the name uncultured bacterium. Its description in RNAcentral is "16S ribosomal RNA". It matches the Rfam family "Bacterial small subunit ribosomal RNA", at positions 28 to 1378 of the family's 1533-position model. The record is from RNAcentral.